UGGGGAAUAUUGCACAAUUGGCGCAAGCCUGAUGCAGCCAUGCCGCGUGUAUGAAGAAGGCCUUCGGGUUGUAAAGUACUUUCAGUCGGGAGGAAGGUGGUAAGGUUAAUAACCUUAUCAAUUGACGUUACCGACAGAAGAAGCACCGGCUAACUCCGUGCCAGCAGCCGCGGUAAUACGGUGGGUGCAAGCGUUAAUCGGAAUUACUGGGCGUAAAGCGCACGCAGGCGGUUGAUUGAGUCAGAUGUGAAAUCCCCGGGGUUAACCCGGGAAUUGCAUCUGAUACUGGUCAGCUAGAGGCUUGUAGAGGGGGGUAGAAUUCCAUGUGUAGCGGUGAAAUGCGUAGAGAUGUGGAGGAAUACCGGUGGCGAAGGCGGCCCCCUGGACAAAGACUGACGCUCAGGUGCGAAAGCGUGGGGAGCAAACAGG
RNAcentral lists this ribosomal RNA (429 nucleotides) under Chloroflexota bacterium. RNAcentral's name for it is "Chloroflexi bacterium partial 16S ribosomal RNA". It matches the Rfam family "Bacterial small subunit ribosomal RNA", at positions 355 to 776 of the family's 1533-position model. The record is from RNAcentral. Lineage: Bacteria; Bacillati; Chloroflexota.